Molecule: ribosomal RNA, 2931 nt
Filed under: Escherichia coli APEC O2-211
Lineage: Bacteria; Pseudomonadati; Pseudomonadota; Gammaproteobacteria; Enterobacterales; Enterobacteriaceae
Description: bacterial LSU rRNA
Rfam family: Bacterial large subunit ribosomal RNA
Source: RNAcentral
GGGUUGUGAGGUUAAGCGACUAAGCGUACACGGUGGAUGCCCUGGCAGUCAGAGGCGAUGAAGGACGUGCUAAUCUGCGAUAAGCGUCGGUAAGGUGAUAUGAACCGUUAUAACCGGCGAUUUCCGAAUGGGGAAACCCAGUGUGAUUCGUCACACUAUCAUUAACUGAAUCCAUAGGUUAAUGAGGCGAACCGGGGGAACUGAAACAUCUAAGUACCCCGAGGAAAAGAAAUCAACCGAGAUUCCCCCAGUAGCGGCGAGCGAACGGGGAGGAGCCCAGAGCCUGAAUCAGUGUGUGUGUUAGUGGAAGCGUCUGGAAAGGCGCGCGAUACAGGGUGACAGCCCCGUACACAAAAAUGCACAUGCUGUGAGCUCGAUGAGUAGGGCGGGACACGUGGUAUCCUGUCUGAAUAUGGGGGGACCAUCCUCCAAGGCUAAAUACUCCUGACUGACCGAUAGUGAACCAGUACCGUGAGGGAAAGGCGAAAAGAACCCCGGCGAGGGGAGUGAAAAAGAACCUGAAACCGUGUACGUACAAGCAGUGGGAGCCUCUUUAUGGGGUGACUGCGUACCUUUUGUAUAAUGGGUCAGCGACUUAUAUUCUGUAGCAAGGUUAACCGAAUAGGGGAGCCGAAGGGAAACCGAGUCUUAACUGGGCGUUAAGUUGCAGGGUAUAGACCCGAAACCCGGUGAUCUAGCCAUGGGCAGGUUGAAGGUUGGGUAACACUAACUGGAGGACCGAACCGACUAAUGUUGAAAAAUUAGCGGAUGACUUGUGGCUGGGGGUGAAAGGCCAAUCAAACCGGGAGAUAGCUGGUUCUCCCCGAAAGCUAUUUAGGUAGCGCCUCGUGAAUUCAUCUCCGGGGGUAGAGCACUGUUUCGGCAAGGGGGUCAUCCCGACUUACCAACCCGAUGCAAACUGCGAAUACCGGAGAAUGUUAUCACGGGAGACACACGGCGGGUGCUAACGUCCGUCGUGAAGAGGGAAACAACCCAGACCGCCAGCUAAGGUCCCAAAGUCAUGGUUAAGUGGGAAACGAUGUGGGAAGGCCCAGACAGCCAGGAUGUUGGCUUAGAAGCAGCCAUCAUUUAAAGAAAGCGUAAUAGCUCACUGGUCGAGUCGGCCUGCGCGGAAGAUGUAACGGGGCUAAACCAUGCACCGAAGCUGCGGCAGCGACGCUUAUGCGUUGUUGGGUAGGGGAGCGUUCUGUAAGCCUGCGAAGGUGUGCUGUGAGGCAUGCUGGAGGUAUCAGAAGUGCGAAUGCUGACAUAAGUAACGAUAAAGCGGGUGAAAAGCCCGCUCGCCGGAAGACCAAGGGUUCCUGUCCAACGUUAAUCGGGGCAGGGUGAGUCGACCCCUAAGGCGAGGCCGAAAGGCGUAGUCGAUGGGAAACAGGUUAAUAUUCCUGUACUUGGUGUUACUGCGAAGGGGGGACGGAGAAGGCUAUGUUGGCCGGGCGACGGUUGUCCCGGUUUAAGCGUGUAGGCUGGUUUUCCAGGCAAAUCCGGAAAAUCAAGGCUGAGGCGUGAUGACGAGGCACUACGGUGCUGAAGCAACAAAUGCCCUGCUUCCAGGAAAAGCCUCUAAGCAUCAGGUAACAUCAAAUCGUACCCCAAACCGACACAGGUGGUCAGGUAGAGAAUACCAAGGCGCUUGAGAGAACUCGGGUGAAGGAACUAGGCAAAAUGGUGCCGUAACUUCGGGAGAAGGCACGCUGAUAUGUAGGUGAAGCGACUUGCUCGUGGAGCUGAAAUCAGUCGAAGAUACCAGCUGGCUGCAACUGUUUAUUAAAAACACAGCACUGUGCAAACACGAAAGUGGACGUAUACGGUGUGACGCCUGCCCGGUGCCGGAAGGUUAAUUGAUGGGGUUAGCGGUAACGCGAAGCUCUUGAUCGAAGCCCCGGUAAACGGCGGCCGUAACUAUAACGGUCCUAAGGUAGCGAAAUUCCUUGUCGGGUAAGUUCCGACCUGCACGAAUGGCGUAAUGAUGGCCAGGCUGUCUCCACCCGAGACUCAGUGAAAUUGAACUCGCUGUGAAGAUGCAGUGUACCCGCGGCAAGACGGAAAGACCCCGUGAACCUUUACUAUAGCUUGACACUGAACAUUGAGCCUUGAUGUGUAGGAUAGGUGGGAGGCUUUGAAGUGUGGACGCCAGUCUGCAUGGAGCCGGCCUUGAAAUACCACCCUUUAAUGUUUGAUGUUCUAACGUUGGCCCCUGAUCGGGGUUGCGGACAGUGUCUGGUGGGUAGUUUGACUGGGGCGGUCUCCUCCUAAAGAGUAACGGAGGAGCACGAAGGUUGGCUAAUCCUGGUCGGACAUCAGGAGGUUAGUGCAAUGGCAUAAGCCAGCUUGACUGCGAGCGUGACGGCGCGAGCAGGUGCGAAAGCAGGUCAUAGUGAUCCGGUGGUUCUGAAUGGAAGGGCCAUCGCUCAACGGAUAAAAGGUACUCCGGGGAUAACAGGCUGAUACCGCCCAAGAGUUCAUAUCGACGGCGGUGUUUGGCACCUCGAUGUCGGCUCAUCACAUCCUGGGGCUGAAGUAGGUCCCAAGGGUAUGGCUGUUCGCCAUUUAAAGUGGUACGCGAGCUGGGUUUAGAACGUCGUGAGACAGUUCGGUCCCUAUCUGCCGUGGGCGCUGGAGAACUGAGGGGGCUGCUCCUAGUACGAGAGGACCGGAGUGGACGCAUCACUGGUGUUCGGGUUGUCAUGCCAAUGGCACUGCCCGGUAGCUAAAUGCGGAAGAGAUAAGUGCUGAAAGCAUCUAAGCACGAAACUUGCCCCGAGAUGAGUUCUCCCUGAGACUUUAAGUCUCCUGAAGGAACGUUGAAGACGACGACGUUGAUAGGCCGGGUGUGUAAGCGCAGCGAUGCGUUGAGCUAACCGGUACUAAUGAACCGUGAGGCUUAACCUUACAACGCCGAAGGUGUUU